Molecule: long non-coding RNA, 548 nt
Organism: Phyllostomus discolor (pale spear-nosed bat)
Lineage: Eukaryota; Metazoa; Chordata; Mammalia; Chiroptera; Phyllostomidae
Exons: 2
Source: RefSeq, a predicted model, not a curated record
CCGGACGGUGGCCUAGGGGGUUGGGAACCGGGUCCCCGCAGAGCCACCUCUUAGUCGCUUGCAGCUUCCUGGGGUGUCCCUGCCGGGACUGCGUGUCCUGGGUGUUUGGACUCAACGUGCGGGCAGGAGGUGGCCAAGAGCUGGAACUCUCGCCUGUGAGCCCUGGGGAAGGGGGUGAAGGCCGGACUCGAAAGUCUGUCUUCCUUUGCUCCGCCCCAGUCCCGCGUCCCGAAAAGCAGCCCUGCGAGGUGGCCAAACCCGCUGGCCUGUGAGCGGCUGAGAAAAAUGCCCGAUUCUCCCUCUGCCCAGCGCGGGGUUGGAAGGACACUUCCCGUUGAGAACCAAGGAACCCUUCCCCAUUCUCCUGCCCGGGUUUGAGGACUCCGGCCAAGAGAGUGUGCAGAACUGGCAGGCGGGGUACCGGGGUUUUGAUCUGAGAAAAAGUGCACAAAAGGCUAAGCUACCACAAAUUCAAGAGGCUGGAAGAGACCUGCCUGAAUAAAAAGUGUCUCCUUUUCUUCUCAUUAAAAGAAAAAUCAUCUCUGAAA